RNAcentral lists this ribosomal RNA (164 nucleotides) under uncultured bacterium. Its description in RNAcentral is "partial 16S rRNA". It matches the Rfam family "Bacterial small subunit ribosomal RNA", at positions 355 to 511 of the family's 1533-position model. The record is from RNAcentral.
UAAGGAAUCUUCAACAAUGGGCGAAAGCCUGAUGGAGCAACGCCGCGUGUGUGAUGAAGGGUUCCGGCUCGUAAAACACUGUUGUAAGAGAAGAAUGACAUUGAGAGUAACUGUUCAAUGUGUGACGGUAUCUUACCAGAAAGGAACGGCUAAAUACGUGCCAG